AUGUUGGAUCACCAACAGCUUUUGGAUCCUGGUUGGAGGGGGAUGGGUCUUCCUGAAUCUGAGGGAUCAGAGGGACACCUGGAAGUCUCCUGUUUUCACCCUCCCCUCCAGGACAUGAUCAAAUCCCUUCCUGACUCCCAGAUUUUAAAGCUGAACCCGCAGAAAUCCCAAUCCCUGCCCACAAAAUUCCGGGAUCGCUCCACCAUCCCAAACCAUCCCCAGGAUGAGCUCCAGGACUCUUGGAAUCCUCAAAUCCAAUGGUCCACGGAGCCUGGAGAGCUGAUCUGUCCACCCCAGAGCAUCGGAUUCAUCCUCAGUGACCCUCAAUCCACAGGUCUGGAUGCAGCUGAAGUCCACAGGCAGCUCCAAGAGUAUUCCCAGCCUCGGGAAUACGCCAGCAAUGGUGGAAAUUGGGAAGAAAAGCUUGGCACAACUCCCAGACAGACCACGUUGGAGACUGCGGUGAAGCCCUUCGUGGAGCCACCUCCACUCCUUGCAGCCCGGGCGCAGCAGACAACGGGAAACUCGCAGCCAGAAGGCGACAGCCAAUUACCAGCCCCGUGCCUGCAGCCCAUGGAUGAGGGCUCCUGCCACCGCCAUUCCCUGCUCUGGUAUUUCCACGGCCCCACAAACUCCUGCCGGCCCUUCCUGUUCGGGGGCUGCCGAGGGAACAGCAACCGCUUCCCAUCCCGGCGGGAAUGCGAGCGGCGCUGCCGGAGCUCCGCAGGCAGAGGGAAAUGAGCGGCUCCAAGUGCUUCAUUUAAAUCCAGCGGGAUUGGGAGGAGCGAAUCCGACGCCUCUGGUAGGGACGGGAAAAGCAAACAUGAAGAUGUUGGGAAAAAAAGAUGUCGGAAAACUGGAAUGACGGAUAUUAUGGGAUGAGGAGAGGAGAAACCUCAGGAAAAGGAGGUUGGGAAGGGCAGAAUUCCUGAGCCAAUCCAG
RNAcentral lists this long non-coding RNA (942 nucleotides) under Cyanistes caeruleus (blue tit). RNAcentral describes it as "lncRNA (ENSCCEG00000004158.1)". The record is from RNAcentral. Lineage: Eukaryota; Metazoa; Chordata; Aves; Passeriformes; Paridae.